AAAAGAUAGCCGAGUACAGUACACCCGUGUCCCUCAGAAGAUGAGUACUCAAAAAGCAUUACGACUACCCGACACUCAGGACUACUACAAGCCAAGCUUAGCCCACUUGUCGGGGGCCCCGACUACUCCGACCCUGGGACCUAAGGUCGGGCGAGGCGGAGUUCCACCCCCGAAGGGUCGGGCGCCUCCGACCCCAGGACUUGGGGUCGGGCGAGGCGGAGUUCCACCCUCGGAGGGUCGGGCGCAUUCGACCCCAGGACUCGGGGGUCGGGCGAGGCGGAGUUCCACCCUCGAAGGGCAAUCGGCCGAUCCUCAACUGUAGCACCAAUCGGUCGAUUUCCAACCGUGACCUCUGUGUCUUGCCACAUCUCCUGAUUUCUUCCUUUCCUGACGCCGAUUUCAUACGUGUCAAAAUCUGGCGUCAACACAUGCCCCCCAGUUUCAGAGUAAAACAUAGUCUUUACUUCGAAAUUCUUUUCAACUUCCCUUCCGAAACAAACGCAUUGAAAAUAUCCUUCCGUUUCGUGUUCUCCAGCCUGAUGAUUGCAAUCUUUUCAAAACGGGCGCCCACGACAACCACUCCUCCCGAAAAAAUCGAAACGCCGGCGCGGUAAAAAUUCCGCUUUUACCCCUUCUCAGACUACCUUUAAAUAUCAGCACAUCCCGUACUCCUCCUUACGAGCUCACGUCUUCCUUCUUUAGCGCACUGGCCUUCUUCUACCUCCAGUGCCUUCCUUAGUUUCCAGUCUUUCCCCGGCAUCUCCUUCCAGCUACAUUCCUCCCUACUUUUCCAAUGGCGGCACCUUCAGGCACCUCACCAACACCCGAAGCUCUGGAGAUGGCUCCACCGGUAGAAGUUCCAGUGGCAACGGCGGCGGCUCCAUCGACGGGAGAAGGAGCUCCAUUGGCGGGAGUUGGGGCUUCAACCGAAGUCCCAUCAGUGGCUUCAGCAUCUGCAGCUCUACCGGCGAUCCCGCCAACUACGAUGAGCUUCAUCCCGGAGGUCAUUACCGAAACUUUCCUUAACAAUAAUGUAUUUACUUUAGAUCUGUUCUUACUUCCGUACCCC
This 1069-nucleotide long non-coding RNA is filed under the name Setaria viridis. RNAcentral's name for it is "long non-coding RNA (SVIR_LNC001816)". The record is from RNAcentral. Lineage: Eukaryota; Viridiplantae; Streptophyta; Magnoliopsida; Poales; Poaceae.